Molecule: unclassified non-coding RNA, 597 nt
Filed under: Hevea brasiliensis (rubber tree)
Lineage: Eukaryota; Viridiplantae; Streptophyta; Magnoliopsida; Malpighiales; Euphorbiaceae
Source: RNAcentral
AGAGAGAGAGAGAGAGAGUGGUGGCCUUUGGCAUAAGGGAUUAGGCUGUUGUACAACUUGAGAUGACUAAUAUUUUAGUAAAUGUAGAUUAAUAUGUGGGCUAGUUGGGGGAUGGUGUCUAAAUAAUCCCAAGUUUCAACCAUAUAUUAUGUUUAUAGACAUGCAUGCUGGUAUUCGGUCUAAAUGCUUGUAGCUGAAACUUUUAAUGUUCUAUUGUUUGGUUACGACGGAACCUUGUUCUUCCCCAUUGCCUCUUUUCUCUCCCUCAAUUUUUUUCCCUCAAGUUCUAUGCAUAAUAUAUGAGUUACCAUAAUAGAAACUUUGGAUUCCAAGAAGGAUUGUUUCUCUUACACUUACUCCUACAGUAUUAGAAAUAUGUCUCAUACACUUGCUCUAAAAUUCAUAUAAAAUUUUUGGUUGGUAGGAGGUUUCUGUUCUUGCAAAAUCAGUCCAGUCAUCUCAUAACAUUAAAAUGUUUCUGGUGUCUUUUCAUCAGAACGGUUUCUCUAAGUGUUCUUUAACGUCAUACCAUCGUUUAAAUUGAUGUUUACUUGUCCUUCAUGCAAGUUAAUGAUUGAAACUGUUUAGCUGAGGAGG